Molecule: ribosomal RNA, 480 nt
Filed under: uncultured bacterium
Lineage: Bacteria
Description: partial 16S ribosomal RNA
Rfam family: Bacterial small subunit ribosomal RNA
Source: RNAcentral
GACGAACGCUGGCGGCGUGCUUAACACAUGCAAGUCGAACGAUGAAGAAAAGAAUCGAAGCUUCGGCAGAAAUUCAUUUCGGAUUAGUGGCAGACGGGUGAGUAACGCGUGAGCAACCUACCUCUUACAAAGGGAUAGCCUCGGGAAACCGGGAUUAAUACCAUAUAACAUUGUGACGAAGCAUUUCGAUGCAAUCAAAGCUACGGCGGUAAGAGAUGGGCUCGCGUCCCAUUAACCGGAUGGUGAGGUAACGGCUCACCAUAGUGACGAUGGGUAACCGGCCUGAGAGGGUGAACGGUCACACUGGAACUGAGACACGGUCCAGACUCCUACGGGAGGCAGCAGUGGGGAAUAUUGCACAAUGGCGGGAACUCUGAUGCAGCGACGCCGCGUGAGUGAUGAAGGAAUUCGUUUCGUAAAACUCUGUUCUAUGGGAAGAAAAGGACUGUACCAUAGGAGAAAGCUCCGGCUAAAUACGUG